Long non-coding RNA from Dermacentor silvarum, 1119 nucleotides. RefSeq lists it as uncharacterized. The record is from RefSeq and is a predicted model, not a curated record. The transcript is spliced from 3 exons. NCBI's taxonomy places the organism in Eukaryota, Metazoa, Arthropoda, Arachnida, Ixodida, Ixodidae.
GAAGUGCACAUUAUAACCCAUCCCUAUGCUCCAAGCAUCGCCGACAGUGACAGGUAUAAUGCGUGUUACGUCGGGUACUCGUUCAACCGUGCACAAGCUUACAAGCAUCUCGCGCGCGCAGAAGAUACUGCCACGGUUUACACCGAGGGCGGCGCAACUGCAUGCUUGAAACUUCUUCGCCUCGCCGUUUUGGUGACACGCACAUUCGCGCGUCACCGACCAGUCGCCUUUCCUCGAUUCCGUUCGGUCGAGCCGUUGACUUGUGCGUCAGCAUCUGGAAGCUCCGUCGCUGGAACGCAGUGGCCUGCUCGUCCGUGGUUUUUUGGCCGUGGCUUCGCGGCGAGAUCCAUCCUGCUCAGCAAGCAACUGCGGUGAGGCGACAGAAAUGAGCACAAAAGCGAUGACAUCUCAGGAUUACAACGGUACACCAGCCCACCUGACCACCUGCAUGAAGCGGUAAUUGGGAAAAGGUUGAACGAUGAAGACGUUUUCUCACCCGCAAGGCUCCUGGAUACUGCACCAUAACGAUGCACAUACAUGCCUUUUGCUGCAGAAAAUGCUACCAGAGACGCGUGAAGUGACGCCGCUUACGACUAGAAGAAACGUUUCACCCUCAAGCUUCCUCCCAAUUCCCAACACCCGCUCCCAAUCAACCUUUCGUCCUUCAUUGAUGAAGAAAAAAAAAGAACUGUGAUGCGCGAUGUUUUGUCCAAAGUGACACGUUACAGCUGUGUGCGUGUGGUGUGUGUAUGUGUGUGUGUGCUUUAAUUCGUAUCACAACGACACUGUGUGACUCUUGACGGAGGUGAAGAAGACUGGACGAGAUAAGUAUUACAGGUUCUGGACAUUGUUUUGGACGUCGGCCUCUUCACUUGCGAACGCCUAAAGGUCAGUGUCAUGCAACCCCGUUUCUUACAGGGAAUUCACGUUACACUUCCCAGGGCUUUUCGCCCGAACCAGUUCGUGCGUUGUGCCUCAACGCUAAACAACGCCGCUGAGCGGACCCAAUGUAAUUCGCAAUUCAAGGAACCAUCCCGCGGUUUCUUCUGCUUUGCUUUCAGCAUCUGUUCGUGUAUAUAUAUCGCUGCACAUCUUUAUUUGGCGUUUCUCUAACAUGCU